RNAcentral lists this ribosomal RNA (253 nucleotides) under uncultured bacterium. RNAcentral's name for it is "partial 16S ribosomal RNA". It matches the Rfam family "Bacterial small subunit ribosomal RNA", at positions 524 to 776 of the family's 1533-position model. The record is from RNAcentral.
GACGAAGGUGGCGAGCGUUGUUCGGAAUCACUGGGCAUAAAGCGCGCGUAGGCGGCUAUGUAAGUCAGGUGUGAAAGCCCUCGGCUCAACCGAGGAACUGCGCCUGAUACUGCAUGGCUUGGGGUCCGGAGGGGAGAGUGGAAUUCCCGGUGGAGCGGUGAAAUGCGUAGAGAUCGGGAAGAACGCCGGCGGCGAAAGCGACUCUCUGGUCGGAAUCUGACGCUGAGGCGCGAAAGCUAGGGGAGCAAACGGG